AGUGGCAGACGGGUGAGUAACAUGUGGGAAUCUGCCUUGUGGUUCAGGACAACAUUGGGAAACCGAUGCUAAUACUGGAUAAGCCCUUACGGGGAAAGUUUUAAUGCCAUAAGAUGAGCCCGCAUUUGAUUAGUUAGUUGGUGAGGUAAUGGCUCACCAAGACAAUGAUCAAUAGCUGAUCUGAGAGGAUGACCAGCCACACUGGGACUGAGACACGGCCCAGACUCCUACGGGAGGCAGCAGUGGGGAAUUUUGGACAAUGGGCGCAAGCCUGAUCCAGCAAUGCCGCGUGCAGGAUGAAGGCCUUCGGGUUGUAAACUGCUUUUGUACGGAACGAAACGGUGAGCUCUAAUACAGUUUGCUAAUGACGGUACCGUAAGAAUAAGCACCGGCUAACUACGUGCCAGCAGCCGCGGUAAUACGUAGGGUGCGAGCGUUAAUCGGAAUUACUGGGCGUAAAGCGUGCGCAGGCGGUGAUGUAAGACAGAUGUGAAAUGCCCGGGCUCAACCUGGGACCUGCAUUUGUGACUGCAUCGCUAGAGUACGGUAGAGGGGGAUGG
Molecule: ribosomal RNA, 560 nt
Filed under: uncultured bacterium
Lineage: Bacteria
Description: bacterial SSU rRNA
Rfam family: Bacterial small subunit ribosomal RNA
Source: RNAcentral